UGAGGUGCUUGCACCUUAUCUUAGCGGCGGACGGGUGAGUAAUGCUUAGGAAUCUGCCUAUUAGUGGGGGACAACAUUCCGAAAGGAAUGCUAAUACCGCAUACGCCCUACGGGGGAAAGCAGGGGAUCUUCGGACCUUGCGCUAAUAGAUGAGCCUAAGUCGGAUUAGCUAGUUGGUGGGGUAAAGGCCUACCAAGGCGACGAUCUGUAGCGGGUCUGAGAGGAUGAUCCGCCACACUGGGACUGAGACACGGCCCAGACUCCUACGGGAGGCAGCAGUGGGGAAUAUUGGACAAUGGGCGGAAGCCUGAUCCAGCCAUGCCGCGUGUGUGAAGAAGGCCUUUUGGUUGUAAAGCACUUUAAGCGAGGAGGAGGCUACUUAGAUUAAUACUCUAGGAUAGUGGACGUUACUCGCAGAAUAAGCACCGGCUAACUCUGUGCCAGCAGCCGCGGUAAUACAGAGGGUGCGAGCGUUAAUCGGAUUUACUAGGCGUAAAGCGUGCGUAGGCGGCUGAUUAAGUCGGAUGUGAAAUCCCUGAGCUUAACUUAGGAAUUGCAUUCGAUACUGGUCAGCUAGAGUAUGGGAGAGGAUGGUAGAAUUCCAGGUGUAGCGGUGAAAUGCGUAGAGAUCUGGAGGAAUACCGAUGGCGAAGGCAGCCAUCUGGCCUAAUACUGACGCUGAGGCACGAAAGCAUGGGGAGCAAACAGGAUUAGAUACCCUGGUAGUCCAUGCCGUAAACGAUGUCUACUAGCCGUUGGGGCCUUUGAGGCUUUAGUGGCGCAGCUAACGCGAUAAGUAGACCGCCUGGGGAGUACGGUCGCAAGACUAAAACUCAAAUGAUUGACGGGGGCCCGCACAAGCGGUGGAGCAUGUGGUUUAUUCGAUGCACGCGAGACCUUACCUG
Molecule: ribosomal RNA, 905 nt
Filed under: uncultured bacterium
Lineage: Bacteria
Description: bacterial SSU rRNA
Rfam family: Bacterial small subunit ribosomal RNA
Source: RNAcentral